CCUACGUGGGGCAGCAGUGAGGAAUAUUGGUCAAUGGGCGCGAGCCUGAACCAGCCAAGUAGCGUGAAGGAUGACUGCCCUACGGGUUGUAAACUUCUUUUAUAAAGGAAUAAAGUGAGGCACGUGUGCCUUUUUGUAUGUACUUUAUGAAUAAGGAUCGGCUAACUCCGUGCCAGCAGCCGCGGUAAUACGGAGGAUCCGAGCGUUAUCCGGAUUUAUUGGGUUUAAAGGGAGCGUAGAUGGGUUGUUAAGUCAGUUGUGAAAGUUUGCGGCUCAACCGUAAAAUUUCAAUUGAUACUGGCAGUCUUGAGGACAGUUGAGGUAGGCGGAAUUCGUGGUGUAGCGGUGAAAUGCUUAGAUAUCACGAAGAACUCCGAUUGCGAAGGCAGCUUACUAAACUGCCACUGACAUUGAUGCUCGAAAGUGUGGGUAUCAAACAGGAUUAGAUACCCCUGUAGUC
RNAcentral lists this ribosomal RNA (460 nucleotides) under uncultured bacterium. RNAcentral describes it as "partial 16S ribosomal RNA". It matches the Rfam family "Bacterial small subunit ribosomal RNA", at positions 338 to 795 of the family's 1533-position model. The record is from RNAcentral.